This 429-nucleotide ribosomal RNA is filed under the name Verrucomicrobiota bacterium. Its description in RNAcentral is "Verrucomicrobia bacterium partial 16S ribosomal RNA". It matches the Rfam family "Bacterial small subunit ribosomal RNA", at positions 355 to 776 of the family's 1533-position model. Lineage: Bacteria; Pseudomonadati; Verrucomicrobiota. The record is from RNAcentral.
UAGGGAAUCUUCCGCAAUGGACGAAAGUCUGACGGAGCAACGCCGCGUGAGUGAAGAAGGAUUUCGGUUCGUAAAACUCUGUUGUUAGGGAAGAAAAAAUGUAUAGUAACUAUAUACAAAAGAGACGGUACCUAACCAGAAAGCCACGGCUAACUACGUGCCAGCAGCCGCGGUAAUACGUAGGUGGCAAGCGUUGUCCGGAAUUAUUGGGCGUAAAGCGCGCGCAGGUGGUUUAGAAAGUCUGAUGUGAAAGCCCACGGCUCAACCGUGGAGGGUCAUUGGAAACUAAUAAACUGGAGUGCAGGAGAGAAAAGUGGAAUUCCUGGUGUAGCGGUGAAAUGCGUAGAGAUUAGGAGGAACACCGGUGGCGAAGGCGGCUUUUUGGCCUGCAACUGACACUGAGGCGCGAAAGCGUGGGGAGCAAACAGG